This 465-nucleotide ribosomal RNA is filed under the name uncultured bacterium. RNAcentral's name for it is "partial 16S ribosomal RNA". It matches the Rfam family "Bacterial small subunit ribosomal RNA", at positions 338 to 795 of the family's 1533-position model. The record is from RNAcentral.
CCUACGGGAGGCAGCAGUGGGGAAUAUUGCGCAAUGGGCGAAAGCCUGACGCAGCGACGCCGCGUGAGGGAUGAAGGUCUUCGGAUCGUAAAACUCUGUCAGCAGGGAAGAACGGUCACUGUGCUAAUCAGCAGUGAAUUGACGGUACCUGCAAAGGAAGCACCGGCUAACUCCGUGCCAGCCGCCGCGGUAAUACGGAGGGUGCGAGCGUUAAUCGGAAUUACUGGGCGUAAAGCGCUCGUAGGCGGUAUGUCAAGUCAAGGGUGAAAUCCCCGCGCUCAACGUGGGAACUGCCUUUGAAACUGGCAAACUGGAGUGUGGGAGAGGAUAGUGGAAUUCGAGGUGUAGGAGUGAAAUCCGUAGAUAUCUGGAGGAACAUCAGUGGCGAAGGCGACUAUCUGGCACAUAACUGACGCUGAGGAGCGAAAGCGUGGGUAGCAAACAGGAUUAGAUACCCCUGUAGUC